CAGUCGCCACGGUAAUACAGAGGGUGCGAGCGUUAAUCGGAUUUACUGGGCGUAAAGCGUGCGUAGGCGGCUUCUUAAGUCGGAUGUGAAAUCCCUGAGCUUAACUUAGGAAUUGAAUUCGAUACUGGGAAGCUAGAGUAUGGGAGAGGAUGGUAGAAUUCCAGGUGUAGCGGUGAAAUGCGUAGAGAUCUGGAGGAAUACCGAUGGCGAAGGCAGCCAUCUGGCCUAAUACUGACGCUGAGGUACGAAAGCAUGGGGAGCAAACAGGAUUAGAUACCCCAGUAGUCCCUGUCUCUUAUAC
This 301-nucleotide ribosomal RNA is filed under the name uncultured bacterium. RNAcentral's name for it is "partial 16S ribosomal RNA". It matches the Rfam family "Bacterial small subunit ribosomal RNA", at positions 509 to 807 of the family's 1533-position model. The record is from RNAcentral.